CAUUAGCCAGUCGCUCUGGGAAGGGCUGGUGACCUCACGCUGGGCGGGACUGAGGCCUUUAAACCCGGUCCCUGUGCCGCUGCUGCGCCGGCCUCGCAGCCUUGCAGCCUCCCACGUCCGUGGGGCGGUUCCUUCCGGACUUCAGGAAGGGCACUCACGCAGCGGACAAAGCAAACUCCAGCCUGCAGCUGAGGGUCCACAGCAGGAGAGAAGAUGCGGGCGCCCAUUCCACUGGACAAGGGUAGAAACCAUCCUCAGCUUCACGCAGGAACAAGCAGAGGCACAGAGUUGGCGCCCGGAUUACAGAACGUGUGCUUCUGAUUGUACAACAGGAUUUCUUGAGUCCUUGAUUUUGAUUCAGCUGACUUGGCUGUGUCUGUCAUGGAGUCAUUGUUCCUCUAGUGCAGCGGUUCUCAACCUGUGGGUUGCGACCCCUUUGGGGGUCUAAUGACCCUUUCACAGGGGUUGCCU
This is a long non-coding RNA of Myotis lucifugus (little brown bat), 471 nucleotides long. RefSeq lists it as uncharacterized. The transcript is spliced from 3 exons. NCBI's taxonomy places the organism in Eukaryota, Metazoa, Chordata, Mammalia, Chiroptera, Vespertilionidae. The record is from RefSeq and is a predicted model, not a curated record.